AANNAANGGNCCUUNNGGGUUGUAAAAGUNCCCUUCAGCCAGUGAGGAAAGGUGGGGGGUAUUUUAAUAGCAUAUUCAUUUGCCGUUACUGCAGAAGAAGCCCCGGCCUAACUCCGUGCCAGCAGCCGCGGUAAUACGGAGGGUGCGAGCGUUAAUCGGAAUUACUGGGCGUAAAGCGCAUGCAGGUGGUUUUGUUAAGUCAGAUGUGAAAGCCCGGGGGCUCAACCUCGGAAUUGCAUUUGAAACUGGCAAACUAGAGUACUGUAGAGGGGGGGUAGAAUUUCAGGUGUAGCGGUGAAAUGCGUAGAGAUCUGAAGGAAUACCGGUGGCGAAGGCGGCCCCCUGGACAGAUACUGACACUCAGAUGCGAAAGCGUGGGGAGCAAACAGGAUUAGAUACCCUGGUAGUCCACGCCGUAAACGAUGUCUACUUGGAGGUUGUGGCCUUGAGCCGUGGCUUUCGGAGCUAACGCGUUAAGUAGACCGCCUGGGGAGUACGGUCGCAAGAUUAAAACUCAAAUGAAUUGACGGGGGCCCGCACAAGCGGUGGAGCAUGUGGUUUAAUUCGAUGCAACGCGAAGAACCUUACCUACUCUUGACAUCUACAGAAGCCAGCGGAGACGCAGGUGUGCCUUCGGGAACUGUAAGACAGGUGCUGCAUGGCUGUCGUCAGCUCGUGUUGUGAAAUGUUGGGUUAAGUCCCGCAACGAGCGCAACCCUUAUCCUUGUUUGCCAGCACUUCGGGUGGGAACUCCAGGGAGACUGCCGGUGAUAAACCGGAGGAAGGUGGGGACGACGUCAAGUCAUCAUGGCCCUUACGAGUAGGGCUACACACGUGCUACAAUGGCGCAUACAGAGGGCGGCCAACUUGCGAAAGUGAGCGAAUCCCAAAAAGUGCGUCGUAGUCCGGAUUGGAGUCUGCAACUCGACUCCAUGAAGUCGGAAUCGCUAGUAAUCGUGGAUCAGAAUGCCACGGUGAAUACGUUCCCGGGCCUUGUACACACCGCCCGUCACACCAUGGGAGUGGGCUGCAAAAGAAGUGGGUAGUUUAACCUUCGGGAGGACGCUCACCACUUUGUGGUUCAUGACUGGGGUGAAGUCGUAACAAGGUAACCG
Molecule: ribosomal RNA, 1115 nt
Filed under: uncultured bacterium
Lineage: Bacteria
Description: bacterial SSU rRNA
Rfam family: Bacterial small subunit ribosomal RNA
Source: RNAcentral